This 71-nucleotide transfer RNA is filed under the name Loxodonta africana (African savanna elephant). It matches the Rfam family "tRNA". From Rfam's summary of the family: Transfer RNA (tRNA) molecules are approximately 80 nucleotides in length. Their secondary structure includes four short double-helical elements and three loops (D, anti-codon, and T loops). Lineage: Eukaryota; Metazoa; Chordata; Mammalia; Proboscidea; Elephantidae. The record is from Rfam by way of RNAcentral.
GCAUUGCGGAUUCAAUGGUAGAAUUCUCGCCUCCCAUGAGGGAGACCUGGGUUCAAUUCCCAGCCAAUGCA